AAUCUAAAUCAAAAUGCCACAGUUCUCAAUGGCUUAUGGUGAAGCAUCUGAAAGUGAAAACAAGAAAUACUUUCCCAGCCUCUGAGAAGAUUCCACAUGUCAUCAGAGCCAAUUUGAAAAGGCUAGGCUCCAACUCCUGUCCUCAAGUGAUCCUCCUGCCUCAGCCUCCCAAAGUGCUGGAAUUACAGAUGUGAGCCAUUGCAUCUGGUCUGAAAUUUAAAGAUUUGUAGUUAAAAUUAAAAAUUAAAGAUUUUUAAAAUAUUAAAAAUGAAGAUUUAAAACUUUCA
Molecule: long non-coding RNA, 287 nt
Organism: Symphalangus syndactylus (siamang)
Lineage: Eukaryota; Metazoa; Chordata; Mammalia; Primates; Hylobatidae
Source: RefSeq, a predicted model, not a curated record